Molecule: ribosomal RNA, 253 nt
Filed under: uncultured bacterium
Lineage: Bacteria
Description: partial 16S ribosomal RNA
Rfam family: Bacterial small subunit ribosomal RNA
Source: RNAcentral
UACAGAGGUCCCGAGCGUUGUUCGGAUUCACUGGGCGUAAAGGGUGCGUAGGUGGCAUGGUAAGUCAGGUGUGAAAUCUCGGAGCUCAACUCCGAAACUGCACUUGAUACUGCCUUGCUCGAGUACUGGAGAGGAGAUUGGAAUUUACGGUGUAGCAGUGAAAUGCGUAGAUAUCGUAAGGAAGACCAGUGGCGAAGGCGAAUCUCUGGACAGUUACUGACACUGAGGCACGAAGGCCAGGGGAGCAAACAGG